This is a long non-coding RNA of Phyllostomus discolor (pale spear-nosed bat), 97 nucleotides long. RefSeq lists it as uncharacterized. NCBI's taxonomy places the organism in Eukaryota, Metazoa, Chordata, Mammalia, Chiroptera, Phyllostomidae. The transcript has 3 exons. The record is from RefSeq and is a predicted model, not a curated record.
UGUUGGCAAGGGUGGGUCUCCAGGUGACCCUGCUGCUCCCUCAGGGGCACCCAGGAGAGGAGGCAGGGAGCAGGAGCACAGUGGAGACCUCCUCCCC